UACGUAGGGUGCAGGCGUUACUCGGAAUUACUGGGCGUAAAGCGUGCGCAGGCGGUUUGCUAAGACAGGUGUGAAAUCCCCGGGCUUAACCUGGGAACUGCGCUUGUAACUGGCAAGCUAGAGUGUGGCAGAGGGGGGUGGAAUUCCACGUGUAGCAGUGAAAUGCGUAGAGAUGUGGAGGAACACCGAUGGCGAAGGCAGCCCCCUGGGCUAACACUGACGCUCAUGCACGAAAGCGUGGGGAGCAAACAGG
RNAcentral lists this ribosomal RNA (253 nucleotides) under uncultured bacterium. Its description in RNAcentral is "partial 16S ribosomal RNA". It matches the Rfam family "Bacterial small subunit ribosomal RNA", at positions 524 to 776 of the family's 1533-position model. The record is from RNAcentral.